Long non-coding RNA from Rhododendron vialii, 145 nucleotides. RefSeq lists it as uncharacterized. The transcript is spliced from 2 exons. Lineage: Eukaryota; Viridiplantae; Streptophyta; Magnoliopsida; Ericales; Ericaceae. The record is from RefSeq and is a predicted model, not a curated record.
AAUUGUGAGAAGAGUUGGCUAAAUUUGGGUUCGCCUCUGUAAUAUUAUCAGGAUGGUUGUUUUGUUGAUCAUGGCUUUGGUGGAAUGGAAUAAACAGAUUUGGCUAUCUAGCUUUGGAGGAUUUGCUAGAGAAACACCUCCUAAU